UACGGAGGAUGCGAGCGUUAUCCGGAUUUAUUGGGUUUAAAGGGUGCGUAGGCGGACGCUUAAGUCUGCGGUAAAAUUGCGGGGCUCAACCUCGUCGAGCCGUUGAAACUGGGUGCCUUGAGUGGGCGAGAAGUACGCGGAAUGCGUGGUGUAGCGGUGAAAUGCAUAGAUAUCACGCAGAACUCCGAUUGCGAAGGCAGCGUACCGGCGCCCAACUGACGCUGAAGCACGAAGGCGUGGGUAUCGAACAGG
Molecule: ribosomal RNA, 252 nt
Filed under: uncultured bacterium
Lineage: Bacteria
Description: partial 16S ribosomal RNA
Rfam family: Bacterial small subunit ribosomal RNA
Source: RNAcentral